CCAGACGGGCUUCUACAAGUGCGAGGUGACUGCCGACGCGCCGUCCUUCCACACGGAGAUCCGCUCCGCCCUCAUGAUAGUCACAGAGUUCCCCGACGAGAACCCGGUGCUGGAGGUGGGCAAGCUCAAGUACUCGCUGGGGGAGAGGCUGCGAGCCAACUGCAGCUCUCGGCCCUCCUACCCGGCCGCCAACCUCACCUGGUUCAUCAACGGCCAGCAGGUGUUCGGCUCGAAGCAGGUGGUGAUCCGCAAGGUGGUGCACCAGCACGCGGACGAGCUGGAGUGGAC
Bacillus rossius redtenbacheri is the source of this 288-nucleotide long non-coding RNA. RefSeq lists it as uncharacterized. The record is from RefSeq and is a predicted model, not a curated record. Lineage: Eukaryota; Metazoa; Arthropoda; Insecta; Phasmatodea; Bacillidae. The transcript has 3 exons.